UACAGAGGUCUCAAGCGUUGUUCGGAUUCAUUGGGCGUAAAGGGUGUGUAGGUGGCGCCGUAAGUCGGGUGUGAAAUUUCGGAGCUUAACUCCGAAACUGCAUUUGAUACUGGCGUGCUUGAGGACUGGAGAGGAGACUGGAAUUCACGGUGUAGCAGUGAAAUGCGUAGAUAUCGUGAGGAAGACCAGUGGCGAAGGCGGGUCUCUGGACAGUUCCUGACACUGAGGCAGCGAAGGCCAGGGGAGCAAACGGG
Molecule: ribosomal RNA, 254 nt
Filed under: uncultured bacterium
Lineage: Bacteria
Description: partial 16S ribosomal RNA
Rfam family: Bacterial small subunit ribosomal RNA
Source: RNAcentral